AGCCCGGGCGGAGCGGCCGUCGGUGCAGAU
RNAcentral lists this small nuclear RNA (30 nucleotides) under Arabidopsis thaliana (thale cress). RNAcentral describes it as "snRNA_07318". The record is from RNAcentral. Lineage: Eukaryota; Viridiplantae; Streptophyta; Magnoliopsida; Brassicales; Brassicaceae.